RNAcentral lists this ribosomal RNA (282 nucleotides) under uncultured bacterium. RNAcentral's name for it is "partial 16S ribosomal RNA". It matches the Rfam family "Bacterial small subunit ribosomal RNA", at positions 74 to 354 of the family's 1533-position model. The record is from RNAcentral.
CUUGUCUGCACCUGCCGGCGACCGGCGCACGGGUGAGUAACACGUAUGGAACCUGCCCGCCACAGGGGGAUAACCCGGGGAAACCCGGCCUAAUACCCCAUGCCGCCCGGACCGGGCAUCCGGUCCGGGCGAAAGGAGGAAUCCGGUGGCGGCUGGGCAUGCGGCGCAUUAGGCAGUAGGCGGGGUAACGGCCCACCUAACCGACGAUGCGUAGGGGUUCUGAGAGGAAGGUCCCCCACACUGGUACUGAGACACGGACCAGACUCCUACGGAAGGCAGCAG